RNAcentral lists this ribosomal RNA (209 nucleotides) under uncultured bacterium. RNAcentral's name for it is "partial 16S ribosomal RNA". It matches the Rfam family "Bacterial small subunit ribosomal RNA", at positions 568 to 775 of the family's 1533-position model. The record is from RNAcentral.
CUCGUAGGCGGCCAACUAAGUCAUACGUGAAAUCCCUCGGCUUAACCGGGGAACUGCGUCUGAUACUGGAUGGCUUGAGUUCGGGAGAGGGAUGCGGAAUUCCAGGUGUAGCGGUGAAAUGCGUAGAUAUCUGGAGGAACACCGGUGGCGAAGGCGGCAUCCUGGACCGAUACUGACGCUGAGGAGCGAAAGCCAGGGGGAGCAAACGG